This 480-nucleotide ribosomal RNA is filed under the name Bifidobacterium pseudocatenulatum. RNAcentral's name for it is "bacterial SSU rRNA". It matches the Rfam family "Bacterial small subunit ribosomal RNA", at positions 34 to 520 of the family's 1533-position model. The record is from RNAcentral. Lineage: Bacteria; Bacillati; Actinomycetota; Actinomycetes; Bifidobacteriales; Bifidobacteriaceae.
CGCUGGCGGCGUGCUUAACACAUGCAAGUCGAACGGGAUCCAUCAGGCUUUGCUUNUUNGUGAGAGUGGCGAACGGGUGAGUAUGCGUGACCGACCUGCCCCAUACACCGGAAUAGCUCCUGGAAACGGGUGGUAAUGCCGGAUGCUCCGACUCCUCGCAUGGGGUGUCGGGAAAGAUUUCAUCGGUAUGGGAUGGGGUCGCGUCCUAUCAGGUAGUCGGCGGGGUAACGGCCCACCGAGCCUACGACGGGUAGCCGGCCUGAGAGGGCGACCGGCCACAUUGGGACUGAGAUACGGCCCAGACUCCUACGGGAGGCAGCAGUGGGGAAUAUUGCACAAUGGGCGCAAGCCUGAUGCAGCGACGCCGCGUGCGGGAUGACGGCCUUCGGGGUUGUAAACCGCUUUUGAUCGGGGAGCAAGCCUUCGGGUGAGUGUACCUUUUCGAAUAAGCACCGGCUAACUACGUGCCAGCAGCCGCGG